Molecule: ribosomal RNA, 372 nt
Filed under: uncultured bacterium
Lineage: Bacteria
Also listed under: 1 other name
Description: bacterial SSU rRNA
Rfam family: Bacterial small subunit ribosomal RNA
Source: RNAcentral
UACGGAGGAUGCGAGCGUUAUCCGGAUUUAUUGGGUUUAAAGGGUGCGUAGGCGGAUCGAUAAGUCAGUGGUGAAACCCUGCAGCUUAACUGUAGACUUGCCGUUGAUACUGUUGGUCUUGAGUGUGGUCAAGGUAGGCGGAAUGUGUAAUGUAGCGGUGAAAUGCUUAGAUAUUACACAGAACACCGAUUGCGAAGGCAGCUUACUGGGCCAUUACUGACGCUGAUGCACGAAAGCGUGGGGAUCGAACAGGAUUAGAUACCCUGGUAGUCCACGCCGUAAACGAUGAUCACUCGCUGUUGGCGAUACACAGUCAGCGGCUAAGCAAAAGCAUUAAGUGAUCCACCUGGGGAGUACGGCCGCAAGGCUGAA